GACGAACGCUGGCGGCGUGCUUAACACAUGCAAGUCGAACGGAAAGGCCCUGCUUUUGUGGGGUGCUCGAGUGGCGAACGGGUGAGUAACACGUGAGUAACCUGCCCUUGACUUUGGGAUAACUUCAGGAAACUGGGGCUAAUACCGGAUAGGAGCUCCUGCUGCAUGGUGGGGGUUGGAAAGUUUCGGCGGUUGGGGAUGGACUCGCGGCUUAUCAGCUUGUUGGUGGGGUAGUGGCUUACCAAGGCUUUGACGGGUAGCCGGCCUGAGAGGGUGACCGGCCACAUUGGGACUGAGAUACGGCCCAGACUCCUACGGAGAGGCAGCAGUGGGGAAUAUUGCACAAUGGGCCGGAAGCUUGAUGCAACAACCCCGCGUGGGGAAUGACGGCCUUCGGGUUGUAAACCCCUUUUCCCCUGUGACGAAAGGGGGAGGGACGGAAAUGGGUAAAAAAGGCACCGGCUUAUUACGUUCCCAGCAGCCGCCGGUGAUAGGUAGGGGGCAGGCGUUGUCCCGGAUUUAUUGGGCGUAAAGGGCUCGUAGGUGGUUGAUCGCGUCGGAAGUGUAAUCUUGGGGCUUAACCCUGAGCGUGCUUUCGAUACGGGUUGACUUGAGGAAGGUAGGGGAGAAUGGAAUUCCUGGUGGAGCGGUGGAAUGCGCAGAUAUCAGGAGGAACACCAGUGGCGAAGGCGGUUCUCUGGGCCUUUCCUGACGCUGAGGAGCGAAAGCGUGGGGAGCGAACAGGCUUAGAUACCCUGGUAGUCCACGCUGUAAACGGUGGGUACUAGGUGUGGGGUCCAUUCCACGGGUUCCGUGCCGUAGCUAACGCUUUAAGUACCCCGCCUGGGGAGUACGGCCGCAAGGCUAAAACUCAAAGGAAUUGACGGGGCCCCGCACAAGCGGCGGAGCAUGCGGAUUAAUUCGAUGCAACGCGUAGAACCUUACCUGGGUUUGACAUGGAUCGGGGGUGCUCAGAGAUGGGUGUGCCUCUUUUGGGGUCGGUUCACAGGUGGUGCAUGGCUGUCGUCAGCUCGUGUCGUGAGAUGUUGGGUUAAGUCCCGCAACGAGCGCAACCCUUGUUCACUGUUGCCAGCACGUUAUGGUGGGGACUCAGUGGAGACCGCCGGGGUCAACUCGGAGGAAGGUGGGGAUGACGUCAAGUCAUCAUGCCCCUUAUGUCCAGGGCUUCACGCAUGCAACAAUGGCUGGUACAGAGAGUGGCGAGCCUGUGAGGGUGAGCGAAUCUCGGAAAGCCGGUCUCAGUUCGGAUUGGGGUCUGCAACUCGACCUCAUGAAGUCGGAGUCGCUAGUAAUCGCAGAUCAGCAACGCUGCGGUGAAUACGUUCCCGGGGCU
This 1354-nucleotide ribosomal RNA is filed under the name uncultured bacterium. Its description in RNAcentral is "bacterial SSU rRNA". It matches the Rfam family "Bacterial small subunit ribosomal RNA", at positions 28 to 1381 of the family's 1533-position model. The record is from RNAcentral.